Molecule: long non-coding RNA, 1238 nt
Organism: Triplophysa dalaica
Lineage: Eukaryota; Metazoa; Chordata; Actinopteri; Cypriniformes; Nemacheilidae
Exons: 4
Source: RefSeq, a predicted model, not a curated record
AAUGUUUCAACCAUUCUCACUUGGAGGCUUCAAAUGCUUAGCCACCACCGAUGGGUAAAAGGACGUGGUGACGAUCACAAAACUCUCAGUCUGAUCUUAGUCAGAAGUUGCCAGGAAAUCCAGGGAAACAUCUAAUACACAGUCUGGCUCACCAUGAUGUUGUCUGGUUUGAGGUCUUGGUGGACGAUGUCUUUACUGUGUAGAUAAAGUAAACCUUCACACAUCCCUGUGAUGAUUGUGGCUCUCACUGCUGGAGUCAACUGAAAAUACACAAACAAUAUGGUUUUGUUGAAUUUGUUGAAUAUCCACAAAUGCAAAAAUAGACAGAAAUAAUUCUUAUUUAAUUAUGCUACAGGAAUAGUUCUUACUGGUCUAGGUCACAAGACCCAAACGUAAAUAACACCUUUGCAUCUUAAAACAGCUGGAAUGGGAUAAGGAACAUGGCAACCGACAGAGCAACACAAAUGAAGUUAAUUCUUUCAAGUGUACCACUUCAAUACUGCUUGGGACUGAAUGUAUGUUUUUUUCAAGCAUAUUUUAAGAGUAACAGUAGUAAACUUUGAGUACACUAGUGCACAUCUAUCUUUUUUGUUUGUACUGCAACUACACAUAUUUCUGAUAGUUUACUGUAUAACUAUUUUUAACACAACUAGAAUAUGCUAAAUGAACAAUGUAAAUAUAAGGCCAAAUAUACAGUAUAUAGUCUAAAUAAGUCAAGAACAACAAGUGUUUUCUGGGAGGUACAUAAAAAUAGACUGAAAGUAUACUUUUUUUUUUUAAAGGAAUACUAAAAGCACACGUGAAAAAAAUUAUUUUUUGUAAGGGUGUAGUGCACACUAAUAAUAAACCGGAGAUUAAUUACAAAACGUUUUUUUGUUGUUGUUGUUGAGACAUUCCAUGGGACUGUGUCAGACACACAAUUACCUGUAUUUUGGAGAUUUGUGUUUUAAAGAUGGUCGUCUCAAGAUCUUCCCCGAAGAUAAAUUCUAAAGGAAUGUUCCACUUCGAGUCUUUUAUCCAAGGGUCACCAAGAAGCUUCACCACAUUAGGAUGCCGAGCAUUACUAGGGUUAAAACAUCUGGUGUUAUACUGAAUUCACUCUAUUCUGUUGAUGAGACCUACAGGAACUCUCUUCAAAGCAGCCCAUGAGUCUCCAAACUUCUCCUUAUAUAUUUUCCCAAAGCAGCCCUUAGCCAGUGUUUGUGUACAGUACGCCAUUCUAUGCUGAAAAAAAAUCC